RNAcentral lists this ribosomal RNA (497 nucleotides) under uncultured bacterium. Its description in RNAcentral is "partial 16S ribosomal RNA". It matches the Rfam family "Bacterial small subunit ribosomal RNA", at positions 28 to 507 of the family's 1533-position model. The record is from RNAcentral.
GAUGAACGCUGGCGGCGUGCCUAAUACAUGCAAGUCGAGCGAACGGACGAGAAGCUUGCUUCUCUGAUGUUAGCGGCGGACGGGUGAGUAACACGUGGAUAACCUACCUAUAAGACUGGGAUAACUUCGGGAAACCGGAGCUAAUACCGGAUGAUAUUUUGAACCGCAUGGUUCAAAAGUGAAAGACGGUCUUGCUGUCACUUAUAGAUGGAUCCGCGCUGCAUUAGCUAGUUGGUAAGGUAACGGCUUACCAAGGCAACGAUGCAUAGCCGACCUGAGAGGGUGAUCAGCCACACUGGAACUGAGACACGGUCCAGACUCCUACGGGAGGCAGCAGUAGGGAACCUUCCGCAAUGGGCGAAAGCCUGACGGAGCAACGCCGCGUGAGUGAUGAAGGUCUUCGGAUCGUAAAACUCUGUUAUUAGGGAAGAACAUAUGUGUAAGUAACUGUGCACAUCUUGACGGUACCUAAUCAGAAAGCCACGGCUAACUACGUG